Molecule: long non-coding RNA, 1143 nt
Organism: Ruditapes philippinarum (Manila clam)
Lineage: Eukaryota; Metazoa; Mollusca; Bivalvia; Venerida; Veneridae
Exons: 3
Source: RefSeq, a predicted model, not a curated record
UGGCUGUGUCGUCACCUUGGCCAUACAAAACCUGUCCACAGAGAAGCAUACAGGCAAAUGCCUGGUUUGUUUGAGAGAGUCUAUGUUACCAAACUAAUGAUGGUGCAAGACUUGAAUUUAACCGGGCAGUUCAAGGGGCAGUCAUUAGAGGAUAUUGAUUUGAAAGAUAUUGUGUAUGGGGCAGAUGAGCAGCAGGAAGGAAGAAGAGUUGUGAGACUUUAGACUCUGUUGAUGGUAUACAUGAAGAAUCUGACUGUACUCAAGACAAACAGUCAGGAAAAAGAAACUUCAGUGCUAUUUCCUCAGAUGAAGAAGAAGAUAAAGUACAUGCACCAGAAAAAAAAAAAAAGGAAAAAGAUGACAGCUCGUCAGAGAUGGACUGAUACUGAAGUUGAAGAGUUAAGGACUUAUUUUAAAACCUACCUUGACAGUGGAAUAACUCCUCGCGGACCUGCUUGUUUAAAAGCAAAAAAAAAUGAGUCAGGAAAAGGGUGGUGAGAUUUGGAGAAGGCAAAUCACCUAAUUAUCAAGAAGAUCAGCAAUAUGAACCAUAAGUAAAACCACUGAGUUUAAUUAAACAUUGUUCAUAUUGCCAUAAGAAUUUGUCCUUUAGAAUAUUGUUGUAAUCUUAAAUACUUAUUGUUGGAUUUUCAUGGAAAUUACAUAUAGGUCAGUAAGCUUAACACAGUGUUUCUUUUUUUAAAUGACUAGUUAAAUAAGAUAGUACACUUCUGUUAGCCUAUUAAUUUAGGAAAAGCAUAGAGUUAUUAUAAUGGGAGAAAGAGUAUUACCAUGGAAUGUGUGCAUGGUACAUUGACAUUGUAAAUCUGAAUUUUGUAACCAUAAUUCAACCUUGUUCCUCAGAUUUUUUUGUUUACCCUUAUUUAUUCAUUGAUCUGAAGCCAUUUUCAUCUAGUGUUCUUUAUUUCUUUAGCCUGUUAAGGACUUGUUAGAACAAAUAUAGGCUACCUAAAACAUUUAUUUUUCAUUGCAAAUAUUGUUUUGUUCAUCAACAGUUAUUUUUCUCCAUCUUAUGAAUAAAGUUAUAAAGGAGGCACUCUGUUUUGUUUUGUUUCAUUAUGUGACAUUGUGCAUCAUUAACCCUUCAUAGUAUUUAUAACCAUGUAAAAUUUCUUAAAAAUU